AGGGUCUUUCACUUCGAUAACCCUAUUUGACCGAGCUGUUCGUCUGGGAAAGGUGAAAGUCUGUUGAAAGUCGAAGACAGCCUUCAAGAAAUGCGACUACUUGUUGGAAAGGACGAGCAACUGAAGACAUGACACGGUUGAGAUAUUUUAGCCAUGUUUGAAAGCGGCAGGUUAAAUACAGAAAAAUCGUCGAUGACAUAAAGAUACAUGUCGAGCGUACGGACAGUGAAAGAACGCGAACUCUGGCAGUGGUGGGUGCUUACAAUUGUUUGUUUCCAUCAAACAAAUAACUUCUUCUUCAGUCUUUUUGGGUACAAGAGAUGAAGAUCAAGAA
Molecule: long non-coding RNA, 334 nt
Organism: Xenia sp. Carnegie-2017
Lineage: Eukaryota; Metazoa; Cnidaria; Anthozoa; Malacalcyonacea; Xeniidae
Exons: 2
Source: RefSeq, a predicted model, not a curated record